RNAcentral lists this ribosomal RNA (261 nucleotides) under uncultured archaeon. RNAcentral's name for it is "partial 16S ribosomal RNA". It matches the Rfam family "Archaeal small subunit ribosomal RNA", at positions 748 to 1008 of the family's 1478-position model. The record is from RNAcentral.
CAGCCGUAAACUAAUGCGCGUUAGGUGUACUGGUGACCACGAGUCACCGGGUGCCGAAGGGAAACCGUGAAACGUGCCGCCUGGGAAGUACGGUCGCAAGGCUGAAACUUAAAGGAAUUGGCGUGGGAGCACCACAACGGGUGGAGCCUGCGGUUUAAUUGGACUCAACGCCGGAAAUCUCACCGGAUAGGACAGACAUAUGAUAGUCGGGCUGAAGACUCUACUUGAUGAUCUGAGAGGUGGUGCAUGGCGUCAGUGACU